GAUGGAUAUAACUAUGGGAUACUGUGUGGGUACACGGCCUCCUCCUUCCUGCCUUAUCCUCCUGCUUCUCAAGCUUUUGGCCACAGUCUCCCAGGGGCUGCCGGGGACCGGGCCCCUGGGCUUCCACUUCACACAUUCCAUUUAUAAUGCUACAGUGUAUGAGAACUCAGCAGCAAGGACCUACGUCAACAGUCAGAGUAGAAUGGGCAUCACCUUGAUAGAUCUGUCUUGGGAUAUCAAAUACAGAAUAGUAUCUGGGGACGAGGAAGGCUUUUUCAAAGCAGAAGAAGUCAUCAUUGCAGAUUUCUGUUUUCUCAGAAUAAGAACUAAAGGUGGCAAUUCUGCCAUAUUGAAUAGGGAAAUUCAGGACAAUUAUUUAUUGAUAGUAAAAGGUUCUGUCAGAGGAGAGGAUUUGGAAGCAUGGACCAAAGUGAAUAUACAGGUUUUAGAUAUGAAUGAUCUAAGACCGUUAUUUUCACCCACAACUUACUCUGUUACUAUAGCAGAAAGCACACCUUUAAGGACUAGUGUCGCCCAGGUGACAGCAACAGAUGCCGAUAUCGGUUCCAAUGGAGAAUUCUACUACUACUUUAAAAACAAAGUUGAUCUCUUUUCAGUUCACCCCACCAGUGGUGUCAUCUCUUUAAGUGGACGAUUAAAUUAUGAUGAGAAGAAUAGGUAUGAUCUGGAAAUUUUGGCUGUGGACCGGGGGAUGAAACUUUAUGGAAACAACGGAGUGAGCAGUACUGCAAAGCUUUAUGUUCACAUUGAACGUGUAAAUGAACACGCUCCAACUAUCCACGUGGUCACUCAUGUUCCUUUCUCACUGGACAAGGAGCCGACGUAUGCGGUGGUGACAGUCGACGACCUAGAUGAGGGGGCGAAUGGAGAGAUUGAGUCUGUUUCCAUUGUGGCUGGGGAUCCUUUAGAUCAGUUCUUCCUGGCUAAGGAAGGAAAGUGGAUGAAUGAGUUCAAGAUUAAGGAGAGAAAGCGGGUUGACUGGAAGAGCUUUCCCUAUGGCUACAAUCUCACUCUUCAAGCAAAAGAUAAGGGGUCACCUCAGAAAUUUUCAGCAGUAAAGAUAGUCCACAUCGCCAACCCCAAAAGAGACACUGUCCCAAUUAGAUUUGAAAAAGAAAUGUACGAGGUGAGCAUUAGCGAAUUUUCCCCUCCUGGUGUCGUGGUUGCUAUAGUAAAAUUAAGUCCCGAACCACUAGAUGUGGAAUACAAAUUAUCUCCCGGUGAGGAUGCACAGUACUUCAAAAUUAAUCCUCGGUCAGGUCUGAUUGUCACAGAACAGCCACUGAAUACUAUUAAGAAGGAGGUUUAUAAACUGGAGGUGACAAACAAGGAAGGAGAUUUAAAAGCACAAGUCACUAUCAGCAUAGAAGAUGCCAACGACCACACCCCAGAAUUUCAGCAGCCCCUAUAUGAUGCUUUUGUGAAUGAAAGUGUUCCAGUGGGUACGAGCAUUCUGAUGGUUUCAGCUUCUGAUAAAGAUAAAGGAGAAAAUGGGUACAUCACUUAUAGUAUUGCCAGCUUAAAUUUGUUACCAUUUGCCAUCAACCAGUUUACAGGUGUUAUUAGCACAACUGAAGAACUGGAUUUUGAAUCCUCUCCAGAAACUUACAGGUUCAUCGUAAGAGCCUCUGACUGGGGUUCACCAUACCGCCAUGAAAGUGAGGUAAAUGUGACUAUUCGAAUAGGAAAUGUCAAUGACAACAGCCCUCUCUUUGAAAAAGUGGCUUGCCAGGGAGUUAUUUCAUAUGACUUUCCAGUUGGGGGUCACAUCACAGCUGUCUCAGCAAUCGAUAUUGAUGAACUUGAACUUGUAAAGUACAAAAUCAUCUCUGGAAAUGAACUUGGUUUCUUUUAUUUAAACCCAGACUCUGGUGUUUUACAGCUUAAAAAGUCACUGAUGAAUUCUGGCAUUAAAAAUGGUAAUUUUGCCCUCAGGAUUACAGCAACCGACGGAGAGAAUUUUGCAGACCCCAUGUCUGUUAACAUUUCAGUCCUACAUGGGAAGGUAUCUUCAAAGAGCUUUAGUUGCAGAGAAACUCGUGUGGCUCAAAAGCUGGCAGAGAAACUACUCAUUAAGGCGAAAGCAAAUGGGAGGCUGAAUUUGGAAGAUGGAUUUCUUGACUUUUAUUCAAUUAAUAGGCAAGGACCACAUUUUGACAAGUCAUUUCCUUCAGAUGUGGCUGUGAAGGAGAAUCUGCCAGUUGGUGCUAACAUUCUGAGGAUUAAAGCCUAUGAUGCUGACUCUGGCUUCAAUGGAAAGGUGCUAUUUACAAUAUCUGAUGGAAAUACAGAUAGUUGCUUUAAUAUUGAUAUGGAGACUGGGCAACUUAAAGUCCUUAUGCCUAUGGAUCGAGAACACACAGACCUCUAUCUCCUUAAUAUCACCAUCUAUGACUUAGGUAAUCCACAAAAAUCUUCAUGGAGGUUGCUCACCAUCAAUGUGGAGGAUGCUAAUGACAAUAGCCCAAUUUUUCUUCAAGACAGUUACUCAGUUACCAUUCUUGAAAGUUCAAGUAUCGGUACUGAGAUUAUUCAAGUGGAAGCCAGAGACAAAGACUUGGGUUCUAAUGGUGAGGUGACUUAUUCAGUCUUGACAGAUACACAGCAGUUUGCCAUCAAUAGCUCAACUGGAAUCGUUUAUGUAGCUGACCAGUUGGACCGGGAAUCCAAAGCAAACUACUCUUUAAAAAUAGAAGCCAGAGACAAGGCAGAAAGUGGCCAGCAGCUGUUUUCGGUUGUCACUCUUAAGGUUUUUUUGGAUGAUGUCAAUGACUGCUCCCCAGCUUUCAUUCCUAGUAGCUAUAGUGUGAAGGUUCUUGAAGAUCUUCCUGUUGGCACUGUCAUUGCUUGGCUGGAGACCCAUGAUCCAGAUCUUGGACUAGGGGGUCAAGUGCGCUAUUCUUUGGUCAAUGACUAUAAUGGGAGAUUUGAAAUCGAUAAAGCAAGUGGUGCCAUUCGCUUGAGCAAAGAGCUUGACUAUGAAAAGCAGCAGUUCUAUAAUCUCACAGUUCGGGCCAAAGACAAAGGGCGGCCUGUCUCUCUGUCAUCUGUUUCCUUUGUUGAGGUGGAAGUGGUGGAUGUCAAUGAAAACCUCCACAAUCCCUAUUUCCCAGACUUUGCUGUUGUUGGAUCUGUAAAAGAAAACUCACGUAUUGGAACAAGUGUGCUACAGGUGACUGCCCAAGAUGAGGACUCCGGGAGGGAUGGAGAGAUCCAGUACUCCAUCAGGGAUGGCAGUGGUCUUGGAAGGUUCAAUAUAGAUGACGAGAGUGGUAAGUUUAAUGUUUUGUGCCAGAAGUGCCUCAAUCUCUCAUGAGUGGUCAACAUUGGAAAAGUAAAGGGGUAUUCUCACACUAAAAUAGAAUGGAAAAAUGCAGUUGCAUUUGGUGCAGAGAGGAUGCAAGUAAAAGCUUUUUCUUAGAAUGCAUUGGUUUGUAAGAAGACCUGUUUAUACAGUAAUAGCUGUGAUUUUCAGUGAGAGUCUCUGUGUUUGUUUUUCUUGUUCAGCAUUACUAUUACCAGGUGAUCUUUUGGUAAGCAUAAGUGAUUGUCACCUCUGUUGAUUGCACUUCUGCCCUUCACCAAAUCAAGGGCCCUAAUAAAGUAAAUUACAUUUGAAUUGACUUUAAAUUAGAAGUGUGAAAUGGAUUUUCAAAUGGAUCUUAUGUACCAGUCUUUCCCUUUACAGUAAUGCUUUGCUGAAGUGAUAUUGCAUUAGUUGCUAGGUCUUUCAUGUUUCACAGGCACAUCUGCCCCUAAAUGACAGGCAUUUGCACUGUGUAUGCUCCAUUACUAUAUGGAGCUGUGCUUCUACAAACGUUUCCAUGAUAGACUAGAGGAGGCAUGUUGUGGAUAUUAUUUACAAAAAAUUGAUUUUAAGAUUUUGUUUGUAAGAACUGAUUUUUUAUAGAAACGUUUUUAAAUAUGGGGCAAAAUU
Molecule: non-coding RNA, 3958 nt
Organism: Ceratotherium simum simum (southern white rhinoceros)
Lineage: Eukaryota; Metazoa; Chordata; Mammalia; Perissodactyla; Rhinocerotidae
Source: RefSeq, a predicted model, not a curated record